Molecule: transfer RNA, 70 nt
Filed under: Marmota monax (woodchuck)
Lineage: Eukaryota; Metazoa; Chordata; Mammalia; Rodentia; Sciuridae
Description: tRNA.Ala
Source: RNAcentral
UGAGGCUGUGGCUCAGUGGUAGAGCACUUGCCUAGCAUGUGAGGUACUGGGUUCGAUUCUCAGCAUAUAA